UGGGGAAUUUUGGACAAUGGGCGCAAGCCUGAUCCAGCAAUGCCGCGUGUGUGAAGAAGGCCUUCGGGUUGUAAAGCACUUUUAUCAGGAGCGAAACGCUGUCGGCUAAUACCCGGCGGAACUGACGGUACCUGAGGAAUAAGCACCGGCUAACUUCGUGCCAGCAGCCGCGGUAAUACGAAGGGUGCAAGCGUUAAUCGGAAUUACUGGGCGUAAAGCGUGCGUAGGCGGUUUCUUAAGUCUGCUGUGAAAUCCCCGGGCUCAACCUGGGAAUGGCAGUGGAUACUGGGAGGCUAGAGUGUGUCAGAGGGUGGUGGAAUUCCCGGUGUAGCGGUGAAAUGCGUAGAGAUCGGGAGGAACAUCAGUGGCGAAGGCGGCCACCUGGGACAACACUGACGCUGAGGCACGAAAGCGUGGGGAGCAAACAGGAUUAGAUACCCUGGUAGUCCACGCCCUAAAGCGAUGCGAACUGGAUGUUGGUCUCAACUCGGAGAUCAGUGUCGAAGCUAACGCGUUAAGUUCGCCGCCUGGGGAGU
RNAcentral lists this ribosomal RNA (536 nucleotides) under uncultured bacterium. RNAcentral's name for it is "partial 16S ribosomal RNA". It matches the Rfam family "Bacterial small subunit ribosomal RNA", at positions 355 to 881 of the family's 1533-position model. The record is from RNAcentral.